This 461-nucleotide ribosomal RNA is filed under the name uncultured bacterium. RNAcentral describes it as "partial 16S ribosomal RNA". It matches the Rfam family "Bacterial small subunit ribosomal RNA", at positions 338 to 795 of the family's 1533-position model. The record is from RNAcentral.
CCUACGGGUGGCAGCAGUGAGGAAUAUUGGUCAAUGGGCGGAAGCCUGAACCAGCCAAGUCGCGUGAGGGAUUAAGGCCCUGCGGGUCGUAAACCUCUUUUGCCGGGGAGCAGUGGUCCGGACGCGUCCGGACCGGGAGAGUACCCGGAGAAAAAGCAUCGGCUAACUCCGUGCCAGCAGCCGCGGUAAUACGGAGGAUGCGAGCGUUAUCCGGAUUUAUUGGGUUUAAAGGGUGCGUAGGCGGGUUGUUAAGUCAGUUGUGAAAGUUUGCGGCUCAACCAUAAAAUUGCAGUUGAUACUGGCAGCCUUGAGUACAGUAGAGGUAGGCGGAAUUCGUGGUGUAGCGGUGAAAUGCUUAGAUAUCACGAAGAACUCCGAUUGCGAAGGCAGCCUGCUGGACUGUAACUGACGCUGAUGCUCGAAAGUGUGGGUAUCAAACAGGAUUAGAUACCCCUGUAGUC